RNAcentral lists this ribosomal RNA (571 nucleotides) under fungal endophyte. Its description in RNAcentral is "eukaryotic LSU rRNA". The stretch from base 192 to 345 matches the Rfam family "5.8S ribosomal RNA". The record is from RNAcentral. Lineage: Eukaryota; Fungi.
CGAUUCUAGGUUAAAAGUCGCUGCUAUACACCCAUGUGAAACCUACCUUUGUUGCCUCGGCAGGUCUGCAACUUACCCUGAGGGUACCUACCCUGUAGGUACCUUACCCGGUAGUUGCGGGCAUAACCUGCCGGUGGUCUACUAAACUCUGUUUACUAUGUCAUUCUGAAUAAUAUAACUAAAUAAGUUAAAACUUUCAACAACGGAUCUCUUGGUUCUGGCAUCGAUGAAGAACGCAGCGAAAUGCGAUAAGUAAUGUGAAUUGCAGAAUUCAGUGAAUCAUCGAAUCUUUGAACGCACAUUGCGCCCAUUAGUAUUCUAGUGGGCAUGCCUGUUCGAGCGUCAUUUCAACCCUUAAGCCCUGUUGCUUAGCGUUGGGAGCCUACAGAUACCCUCUGUAGUUCCUUAAAGUUAGUGGCGGAGUCGGUUUCACACUCUAGACGUAGUAAAUUUUAUCUCGCCUAUAGAUGAGCCGGUCCCUUGCCGUAAAACCCCCUAAUUUCUAAAGGUUGACCUCGGAUCAGGUAGGAAUACCCGCUGAACUUAAGCAUAUCAAUAAGCGGAGGAAAAA